CGGACAGUAGCUGUCUGGUAGAGCUCCCGCUUUAUAUGCGGAAAGGCCUGGGUUCGAUUUCCGGCUGUUUCC
This 72-nucleotide transfer RNA is filed under the name Toxocara canis (dog roundworm). It matches the Rfam family "tRNA". Rfam says of the family: Transfer RNA (tRNA) molecules are approximately 80 nucleotides in length. Their secondary structure includes four short double-helical elements and three loops (D, anti-codon, and T loops). Further hydrogen bonds mediate the characteristic L-shaped molecular structure. tRNAs have two regions of fundamental functional importance: the anti-codon, which is responsible for specific mRNA codon recognition, and the 3' end, to which the tRNAs corresponding amino acid is attached (by aminoacyl-tRNA synthetases). tRNAs cope with the degeneracy of the genetic code in two manners: having more than one tRNA (with a specific anti-codon) for a particular amino acid; and 'wobble' base-pairing, i.e. permitting non-standard base-pairing at the 3rd anti-codon position. Lineage: Eukaryota; Metazoa; Nematoda; Chromadorea; Rhabditida; Toxocaridae. The record is from Rfam by way of RNAcentral.